GACAAACGCUGGCGGCGUGCUUAAAACAUGCAAGUCGAACGCUCCGUUUCGGCGGAGAGUGGCGGACGGCUGAGUAACACGUAGGUAACCUGCCCUUGAGUGGGGAAUAACCCUCCGAAAGGAGGGCUAAUACCGCAUACGAUCGCCAUUCCCUGGAGUGGUGAGGAAAGCCGAAAGGCGCUCGAGGAGGGGCCUGCGGCCGAUUAGCUUGUUGGUGGGGUAACGGCCCACCAAGGCGUCGAUCGGAGCUGGUCUAAGAGGAUGAUCAGCCAGACUGGGACUGCGACACGGCCCAGACUCCUACGGGAGGCAGCAGUUAGGAAUUUUGGGCAAUGGGCGAAAGCCUGACCCAGCAACGCCGCGUGGGUGACGAAGGCCUUCGGUCGUAAACGU
This 393-nucleotide ribosomal RNA is filed under the name uncultured bacterium. RNAcentral describes it as "bacterial SSU rRNA". It matches the Rfam family "Bacterial small subunit ribosomal RNA", at positions 28 to 432 of the family's 1533-position model. The record is from RNAcentral.